Molecule: long non-coding RNA, 464 nt
Organism: Syngnathus acus (greater pipefish)
Lineage: Eukaryota; Metazoa; Chordata; Actinopteri; Syngnathiformes; Syngnathidae
Exons: 3
Source: RefSeq, a predicted model, not a curated record
CACCGACCGUGUGGCGGCUUCUCGGGUAAGCUAGUAUGCUAUCAAAUGUUUGUCGUUCAUCGCCGUUUCUCACGACGGACGCCUUGUAUGUUUGUUGCAGGAUUCAAGGCGAGUUAAUAAAUGCAGGCGCCCCCGACCGUGUGGCGGUUUCUCGGAUGGCGCCCGCCCGCCCGCAACAAACAUUUGCGAGCGUGAUUUUCUCCCGUUUUGGACGACUGCUCGAUUCAUGCCGCCAUUUUUGACGCUCAUAAAGGCCUCCCAGCCAGCACCCUUCUAUACAAAGCAAGCAGGAGGCUCCUGCGCCAUCUCAGUGAUGUUGAGGAUACUGAGGAAGAGUAGUCCCAAAUCAGGUGAAAGCCCGUUGGUGUAAAGUUUCAGCUGACUGUAAAUGUGAUCACUUUUACCAAUUGCACCAUUUGUACUUUUCAAGGUUUUUUUUGUAUGAAACCAGUGAGCAGGUUGAC